Molecule: ribosomal RNA, 451 nt
Filed under: uncultured bacterium
Lineage: Bacteria
Description: bacterial SSU rRNA
Rfam family: Bacterial small subunit ribosomal RNA
Source: RNAcentral
GUCGAGAAUCAUUGACAAUGGGCGAAAGCCUGAUCAUGCGACGCCGCGUGGAGGAUGAAGGCCUUCGGGUUGUAAACUCCUUUCGGGGGUUAGGAAAUGCAUGGGGACGAACACUCCUCAUGCUUGACAAAGGCCCUUAAAGAAGCCACGGCUAAAUGCGUGCCAGCAGCCGCGGUGAAACGCAUAUGGCGAGCGUUAUUCGGAAUUACUGGGCUUGAAGCGCAUGUAGGCGGCGAGGCAAGCAGGUUGUGAAAUCCCCCGGCUUAACCGGGGAAUUGCAGUCUGUACUACCUUGCUUGAGAAUGGGAGGGGAGAGUGGAAUUCCUGGUGGAGCGGUGAAAUGCGUAGAUAUCAGGAGGAACGCCUGUGGCGAAAGCGACUCUCUGGUCCAUUUCUGACGCUGAGGUGCGAAAGCCAGGGGAGCAAACGGGAUUAGAAACCCUUGUAGUCC